This 1232-nucleotide long non-coding RNA is filed under the name Bemisia tabaci. RNAcentral describes it as "lncRNA ENSSSA1NGG011463". The record is from RNAcentral. Lineage: Eukaryota; Metazoa; Arthropoda; Insecta; Hemiptera; Aleyrodidae.
AGAUGAAGGCUGAAAGAUUGCGAGAAGCUCUCACGCUAGAGUUAGAUGAGAAGGAGAUAAACCUGCGGCGCUAUGUGGUUCUUGGUGGCGUUUUUCACCUUGAUCUUCUUCAGCAGCCGUCGCAAGCACAGCAGCUGGCAAAUAAAUGUUAUUUGACUUUGUUGACAGGACCGCAGAAUAUCCAGCCGAUCAACUAUCUGGAGCUUUAUGAACCUCCAGCGCCAUCUCAAGAUGCAUUGUUGCAAACGAAGACUUCUUCAGAAGAGGAGGAACAUGAAGCUAAAACUAAGAAAGAAGGACUUGAGAAACUUGUCACCAUCAGCAUCGUGUAAGUAGAUGUCAGUAUGUCACUCAGCAGUCAAUGCAAACCCACAAACUAAUUAAUGCUAGCGAUUCCAAAUCGGGUGAUUUAUAAAAUCCUCAAGUGAAGCCUGAUGCAACAUGUUGUAUGAAUUUAUAAUUUCUUCCAAGUAGGGAGGUCUGUCAGUAGAUAAAAUCUGGGGUCUUGAAUUAAGGAUUUUUUGAGAACCACACUCAAAAUUGGAGUUGAAACUUAGAUCGCUUUUUUUUCUAGAGAAUGUCCUUUUGUUCCUUCAUUUUCUUUCAAAUAUUCUUAAUGAAUUAAUUUGUCAAUACAGGCUACCGGAUAAUAUAUUAUGGUUUGAACCACCAACAGUUGUACAAUGGGAUGACCAGCACAAAUAUUGGUCCACUCAAUACAUAUUCGACCAAAAUUUAAUGAAGAAAAACAGGUUGUUGUUUUUCGCGCUGGUCGCAUGCGUCCAUUUGGACUGGCAACGUUCCGAUUCAGCAACCUCCCAUACCAGACUUGGGAAAUCCGACCUGGCCCUGGAAGUACCAUAUCAUUCUCCAUCACAGCCGCCAUUAUCAUCGUUGAAUUUCUCGUCAAAAAUGAUGAAAUUUGCUUGAACCAGCUUCAAAAUGCUACAAGCACAGCACUUCAAGAGUUAGUAGGAAUCUUCUACAAGCCACAUAAAUUAAUGAAGUUGUUAAGGGAAGGCGGCGUAGACUUAUUUCCCCCUGACGACGCUUUUCUUUACCUUGAGAACGCAAGAAACAAACAUCAAAUCACAGAGAACCAUGUCUACCACUGUAUGGCUCUUCUUGCAACUACUCACAUGUUUUCCUGGUCGCGGUGGAAUUACUGGCUGCUCAUGAGAAUAUUGUCUUUCAAAUCAAAGAAUUGGCACGGCAAACGAAACAAAAACUGA